RNAcentral lists this ribosomal RNA (443 nucleotides) under uncultured bacterium. RNAcentral describes it as "partial 16S ribosomal RNA". It matches the Rfam family "Bacterial small subunit ribosomal RNA", at positions 338 to 795 of the family's 1533-position model. The record is from RNAcentral.
CCUACGGGUGGCAGCAGUGGGGAAUAUUGGGCAAUGGGCGCAAGCCUGACCCAGCAACGCCGCGUGAAGGAAGAAGGCUCUCGGGUUGUAAACUUCUUUUCUCAGGGACGAAGCAAGUGACGGUACCUGAGGAAUAAGCCACGGCUAACUACGUGCCAGCAGCCGCGGGAAUACGUAGGUGGCAAGCGUUAUCCGGAUUUACUGGGGGUAAAGGGCGUGUAGGCGGGAAAGCAAGUCAGAUGUGAAAACCAUGGGCUCAAACUGUGGCCUGCAUUUGAAACUGUUUUCCUUGAGUACUGGAGAGGCAGACGGAAUGCGUGGUGUUGCGGUGAAAUGCGUAGAUAUUAGGAGGAACACCAGUGGCGAAGGCGGUCUGCUGGACAGCAACUGACGCUGAGGCGCGAAAGCGUGGGGAGCGAACAGGAUUAGAUACCCGAGUAGUC